This is a microRNA precursor of Oryza rufipogon (brownbeard rice), 203 nucleotides long. It matches the Rfam family "MIR812 microRNA precursor family". NCBI's taxonomy places the organism in Eukaryota, Viridiplantae, Streptophyta, Magnoliopsida, Poales, Poaceae. The record is from Rfam.
UAUAAGUACAUUUGCGAGUUUCCGUGUACAACGUUUGACCAUCCAUUUUAUUUGAAAAAAAAUUAUGAUUAGUAUUUUUGUUGUUUUUAGAUGAUAAAACAUGAAUAAAACUUUUAGUGUGAUUUUUUUUAUUUUUUUUAUAAUUUUUUUAAAUAAGACGGACGGUCAAACGUUGAACACAGAAAAUCACAAUUGCAUUUAUA